GGGGGCGAAAGGGCUCGACGGGGGUUAUGAGGCUCAAGCUGCAUGCCGUGGCUCCUUCACCACGUAAAAAGAGGGAACAAACACAAACGCCAACAACGAACUGGCACUCGCUGCUUAACUAGCAGCACGCCCCUUUCCGGUUGCCUGAGCCGGAGAGACCGGCGUCAUAUUUCAGGCUGCCAUCGGGCAGCACCCUUCUGUUUCGAUGGGAGAUUUUAGGGGAUAGGUUGUCAGAAGGCCUGUCUGCCGGCAUGCUGACCGCCGAAUCUGAAAUAGGCGGGCUAUGCAUGGAGAUGCUUGAGAGUAGUGCUUUCGGACCGGGGUUCAAUUCCCCGCGCCUCCACCA
RNAcentral lists this transfer-messenger RNA (346 nucleotides) under Nitrospiraceae bacterium. It matches the Rfam family "transfer-messenger RNA". From Rfam's summary of the family: Bacterial tmRNA, also known as 10Sa RNA or SsrA, is named for its dual tRNA and mRNA-like properties. Lineage: Bacteria; Pseudomonadati; Nitrospirota; Nitrospiria; Nitrospirales; Nitrospiraceae. The record is from RNAcentral. RNAcentral also lists the same sequence under 1 other name.